This 73-nucleotide transfer RNA is filed under the name Limosilactobacillus coleohominis. RNAcentral's name for it is "tRNA-Gln". It matches the Rfam family "tRNA". From Rfam's summary of the family: Transfer RNA (tRNA) molecules are approximately 80 nucleotides in length. Their secondary structure includes four short double-helical elements and three loops (D, anti-codon, and T loops). Further hydrogen bonds mediate the characteristic L-shaped molecular structure. tRNAs have two regions of fundamental functional importance: the anti-codon, which is responsible for specific mRNA codon recognition, and the 3' end, to which the tRNAs corresponding amino acid is attached (by aminoacyl-tRNA synthetases). tRNAs cope with the degeneracy of the genetic code in two manners: having more than one tRNA (with a specific anti-codon) for a particular amino acid; and 'wobble' base-pairing, i.e. permitting non-standard base-pairing at the 3rd anti-codon position. Lineage: Bacteria; Bacillati; Bacillota; Bacilli; Lactobacillales; Lactobacillaceae. The record is from RNAcentral.
UGGGUGUUCGCCAAGUUGGUAAGGCAGUGGACUCUGAAUCCAUAAUGCACUGGUUCGAACCCAGUACACCCAA